AUUGAACGCUGGCGGCAUGCCUUACACAUGCAAGUCGAACGUGAAAGCGGGGCAACCCGCAAGUAGAGUGGCGGACGGGUGAGUAAUACAUCGGAACGUGUCCAGUAAUGGGGGAUAACCUAGCGAAAGUUAGGCUAAUACCGCAUACGAUCUACGGAUGAAAGCGGGGGAUGCGGCACUAAAGGCUUUUGGCGAAGGUGGCCAAAGGUGAGUCAAGAGCUUUUAGUGCUGCACCUCGCGUUAUUGGAGCGGCUGAUGUCUGAUUAGCUAGUUGGUGAGGUAAAGGCUUACCAAGGCGACGAUCAGUAGCUGGUCUGAGAGGACGGCCAGCCACACUGGGACUGAGACACGGCCCAGACUCCUACGGGGCAGCAGUGGGAACUUUGGACAAGUGGGGCAACCCUGAUCCAGCCAUGCCGCGUGAGUGAG
This 429-nucleotide ribosomal RNA is filed under the name uncultured bacterium. Its description in RNAcentral is "bacterial SSU rRNA". It matches the Rfam family "Bacterial small subunit ribosomal RNA", at positions 30 to 409 of the family's 1533-position model. The record is from RNAcentral.